Molecule: ribosomal RNA, 610 nt
Filed under: uncultured Tomentella
Lineage: Eukaryota; Fungi; Basidiomycota; Agaricomycetes; Thelephorales; Thelephoraceae
Description: eukaryotic LSU rRNA
Rfam family: 5.8S ribosomal RNA (bases 199-354)
Source: RNAcentral
UCGUCAAACACGGCUUGUUGCUGGCCCCCCAAACGGGGCAUGUGCACGCUCUGUUUACACAUCCACUCACACCUGUGCACCCUCCGUAGUUCUAUGGUUCGGAAGACCCCGUCUUCCUUCCGUGGCUCUACGUCUUUACACACACGCCGUAGCGACGUCUCAUGGNAAUGUUUUUAUGCGUUUAACGCGAUACAAUACAACUUUCAGCAACGGAAUCUCUUGGCUCUCGCAUCGAUGAAGAACGCAGCGAAAUGCGAUAAGUAAUGUGAAUUGCAGAAUUCAGUGAAUCAUCGAAUCUUUGAACGCACCUUGCGCCCCUUGGUUAUUCCUUGGAGCAUGCCUGUUUGAGUAUCAUGAACACCUCAACUCUCGUGGUCUUCCACGAUGAGCUUGGACUUUGGAGGUUUGCUGGCCCUGCGGCCGGCUCCUCUCAAACGAAUCAGCUUGCCAAUGUUUGGUGGCAUCACGGGUGUGAUAACUAUCUACGCUCGCGGUCGUCUGCCAGGUUACCCUCAGCGAUGAAGGUUCAUUGGGGCUCACAAACGUCUCUCCUCAGCGAAGACAACUUUUGAACGUCGAUCUCAAUAAGUAGGACUACCCCUGACUUAAG